Molecule: ribosomal RNA, 926 nt
Filed under: Salmonella enterica subsp. enterica serovar Lubbock
Lineage: Bacteria; Pseudomonadati; Pseudomonadota; Gammaproteobacteria; Enterobacterales; Enterobacteriaceae
Description: partial 23S ribosomal RNA
Rfam family: Bacterial large subunit ribosomal RNA
Source: RNAcentral
GUGACUGCGUACCUUUUGUAUAAUGGGUCAGCGACUUAUAUUCUGUAGCAAGGUUAACCGUAUAGGGGAGCCGUAGGGAAACCGAGUCUUAACCGGGCGUUAAGUUGCAGGGUAUAGACCCGAAACCCGGUGAUCUAGCCAUGGGCAGGUUGAAGGUUGGGUAACACUAACUGGAGGACCGAACCGACUAAUGUUGAAAAAUUAGCGGAUGACCUGUGGCUGGGGGUGAAAGGCCAAUCAAACCGGGAGAUAGCUGGUUCUCCCCGAAAGCUAUUUAGGUAGCGCCUCGUGAAUUCAUCUCCGGGGGUAGAGCACUGUUUCGGCUAGGGGGCCAUCCCGGCUUACCAACCCGAUGCAAACUGCGAAUACCGGAGAAUGUUAUCACGGGAGACACACGGCGGGUGCUAACGUCCGUCGUGAAGAGGGAAACAACCCAGACCGCCAGCUAAGGUCCCAAAGUCAUGGUUAAGUGGGAAACGAUGUGGGAAGGCCCAGACAGCCAGGAUGUUGGCUUAGAAGCAGCCAUCAUUUAAAGAAAGCGUAAUAGCUCACUGGUCGAGUCGGCCUGCGCGGAAGAUGUAACGGGGCUAAACCAUGCACCGAAGCUGCGGCAGCGACACUGUGUGUUGUUGGGUAGGGGAGCGUUCUGUAAGCCUGUGAAGGUGGCCUGUGAGGGUUGCUGGAGGUAUCAGAAGUGCGAAUGCUGACAUAAGUAACGAUAAAGCGGGUGAAAAGCCCGCUCGCCGGAAGACCAAGGGUUCCUGUCCAACGUUAAUCGGGGCAGGGUGAGUCGACCCCUAAGGCGAGGCCGAAAGGCGUAGUCGAUGGGAAACGGGUUAAUAUUCCCGUACUUGGUGUUACUGCGAAGGGGGGACGGAGAAGGCUAUGUUGGCCGGGCGACGGUUGUCCCGGUUUAAGCGUGUAGG